Molecule: long non-coding RNA, 1837 nt
Filed under: Sorghum bicolor (sorghum)
Lineage: Eukaryota; Viridiplantae; Streptophyta; Magnoliopsida; Poales; Poaceae
Description: long non-coding RNA (SBIC_LNC009565)
Source: RNAcentral
UAGAAUCCUGCUUGAUCUCCACGUCUUGUUUCCUUGCGCGAAACUCGGGCUGUCGGAUCAAGCCUUGAACUCGUCUCGUAGUGGGCCCAGCUUCCUAGCUGAAGUCUAGCCGUAAUGGUAUAGGGGUUUAUACCCCCACAGGUUGAUUAACCAAUUUUCAUGUGGGGGUGUGGAUGCAUUAUGAUUUCCCGUCCCUUUCGUUGAUUGUUUUAUGUGAUGGAGCCGUUCGUUCGUUAGUUAGUUAGUGCCCUUGGAAAUGGGUUGUGAAAGCUGGAUUGUGGAAGUGGAUCGGUUGGAUACUUGGAUCCACCAGACAGUACGGUCAAGGUGCCAUACGCGUGGCAUGUACAAAUAAUCAGCUUGAAACCUAAGUAUAAUAACUAACCAGGCCUAAGCCUAAGCUGUCAUACGCGUGGCAUGUAUACCUUCUUUAGCUUUCCUCGAAACCCCUUGCAUUGGAGGAGACUAUAGUGGACUUGCUUCAAGACAAUUUAGCUAAUACAAAAGUGCUUGUGGAGCUUCAACAUUUGCUUCUUAGAAAGCUUAAAAAGGUAGUAGAAGCUAAUUUUUUAAAAAAGGUAAAGCAUCCUCAAACAGGGUAGUUUCUUUAGCGGAUAAAAACUGCACUUUGUACUAAAAGCAGAACAGCUUCUUGAGAUUCUCUAAAAAACUUCUCUAUAGAAGGUGCCUUUGGAAAAGCUAUAGGCCUAUAGCCCUCCCCCCACCCCCCAAAAAAAAAACAGGACUUGCAUAACACAAAAAAAAUAUCAAAUAAGCAUUAAGUGCAAUAAAACAAACCAUUUAUAGGAUAAAUAAAAGAUCAGCGCCCAUACUGAUUAAAUAUAAUAUUGAAUAGGAAGGUAAACAAGUUCACAACACAACAAAAAGAAAAGAAAAAACAAAUGAACUAUUGAAGGAUAUUUAGUCAUAUUAAAAUUUCAGGAAAGUACCUACUUUUUACUCAGAUGAAGAAGCAAGCAAAGUCAGGUUGUAUGUUGAAUAAAAAAACUAGGGAAGAGAUCUAAUGGUUAUAUUAGAAAGAAGAAGAAAUUCAAACUAGGCCUUAACAACUACUACUUACAAGAUAACCUAACAACUAUAAGCAAAUAGAAAUAGUAGUCGAUUAGAUUGGACCUCAACACACGCCACAUAACACUGUCUUGCCACAAACUCUUCACGCUCCACUUAAUGACUCAACACCCGGUACUCUUGCUCCAUAGCACCACACCACCACUAGUUGUCUAGAUGACAAAUCCAUCAAGUCAUCAUCAUCGCUUGCGCCAUUGUCACCAAUGAUAGUUUUGCACUAUUCCAAAGCACUAACAUGUAGAGCAAGCGAUCGCAGUCCACUACAAGCCAUAUAGCCUGCACAUCAUCAACCUUGCUUUGUGCUACCCAUUGACAUUGUCGCAAACCACCAAGCCAAUAUGUGAGCAACUCAGAGAGAAAAGUUCUAUUGGAACAGAUAUAGAAUAAGUCUCAAAGAAGUUAAAAUGGAUGAGAUCAAACUUUAGAUGAAGUAAGAAUUGAAUUAUAAAGUGCAGCAAAUUAGUUGGUCAAGGACACCAGAUAGUCUAGUGACCUUGUGUCAUAGUAAGUGUUUGGCAAUAAUGUCACUCACCGUGGCGAAGCUAGAGCAAAUAAGAGGGUGGUGCAUUUCUCUUAUAGAUAGAUAAACUCGGGCUAUAAUCAUGGUGAAAAAUUGAUUUACUCAGUGGUGUUUAAUUUUUUCAUGGUGCAUGUGCACCCACUAUCUUGUAUAUAGCUUCGCCACUAACUCACUAGACAACACGGAGAAGGGUUAUGUGUGGACCGAUGGAUGAUCCGAUGAUAGUGU